RNAcentral lists this transfer RNA (58 nucleotides) under Mesocricetus auratus (golden hamster). It matches the Rfam family "tRNA", at positions 8 to 63 of the family's 71-position model. From Rfam's summary of the family: Transfer RNA (tRNA) molecules are approximately 80 nucleotides in length. Their secondary structure includes four short double-helical elements and three loops (D, anti-codon, and T loops). Further hydrogen bonds mediate the characteristic L-shaped molecular structure. tRNAs have two regions of fundamental functional importance: the anti-codon, which is responsible for specific mRNA codon recognition, and the 3' end, to which the tRNAs corresponding amino acid is attached (by aminoacyl-tRNA synthetases). tRNAs cope with the degeneracy of the genetic code in two manners: having more than one tRNA (with a specific anti-codon) for a particular amino acid; and 'wobble' base-pairing, i.e. permitting non-standard base-pairing at the 3rd anti-codon position. Lineage: Eukaryota; Metazoa; Chordata; Mammalia; Rodentia; Cricetidae. The record is from Rfam by way of RNAcentral.
UAGUUCAGUUGGUAGAGCAUGAGACUCUUAAUCUCAGGGUUGUGGGUUCGAGCCUCAU